This 237-nucleotide ribosomal RNA is filed under the name uncultured bacterium. RNAcentral's name for it is "partial 16S ribosomal RNA". It matches the Rfam family "Bacterial small subunit ribosomal RNA", at positions 28 to 258 of the family's 1533-position model. The record is from RNAcentral.
GACGAACGCUGGCGGCGUGCUUAACACAUGCAAGUCGAGCGGUAAGGCCCUUUCGGGGGUACGACGAGCGGCGAACGGGUGAGUAACACGUGGGUGACCUGCCCUCCAGCUCUGGGAGUAAGCCUCGGGAAACCGGGGUACGUAAUAACUGGAUAUGACUCCAUGACGCAUGUUGUGGGGUGGAAAGCCUUGUGCGGCUGAGGAUGGGCCCGCGGCCUAUCAGCUUGUUGGUGGGGU